Molecule: ribosomal RNA, 1321 nt
Filed under: metagenome
Description: bacterial LSU rRNA
Rfam family: Bacterial large subunit ribosomal RNA
Source: RNAcentral
AGUGGAUGGGGAGCAACCUAGUUGUGCGUGUGUAAAGGUAGUGCCAAGAAAAGCGAUGAUCAUGUUGAAAAUCAAUUCCCGGUACCCGAAACCGACACAGGUGGGCAAGUAGAGAAUACUAAGGGGCGCGAGGUAACUCUCUCCAAGGAACUCGGCAAAAUGACCCCGUAACUUAGGGAGAAGGGGUGCCACCGAGAGGUGGUCGCAGUGAAGAGGCCCAGGCGACUGUUUAGCAAAAACAUAGGUCUCUGCAAACUCGAAAGAGGAGGUAUAGGGGCUGACGCCUGCCCAGUGCCGGUUAAAGAAGUUGGUCAGUUUUAGGAUGAAGCUAGCGACUGAAGCCCCGGUGAACGGCGGCCGUAACUAUAACGGUCCUAAGGUAGCGAAAUUCCUUGUCGGGUAAGUUCCGACCCGCACGAAAGGCGUAACGAUCUGGGCGCUGUCUCGGAGAGAGGCUCGGCGAAAUAGGAUUGUCUGUGAAGAUACGGACUACCUGCAUUUGGACAGUAAGACCCUAUGAAGCUUUACUAUAGCUUGGAAUUGUGUUCGGGCUUCCUGUGCGCAGGAUAGGUGGGAGGCGUAGAAGGUAUUCUUGUGGGGAUACUGGAGCCAACGGUGAGAUACCACUCUCAGGAGGCUAGAAUUCUAACUUAAUUAAGGACAGUUUCAGAUGGGUAGUUUGACUGGGGCGGUCGCCUCCAAAAAGGUAACGGAGGCGUACAAAGGUUCCCUCAGACUGGUUGGAAAUCAGUCGAAGAGUGCAAAGGCAGAAGGGAGCUUGACUGCGAGAAGUACAGUUCGAGCAGGGUGGAAACACGGUCUUAGUGAUCCGACGGUGCUGUGUGGAAGGGCCGUCGCUCAACGGAUAAAAGUUACUCUAGGAUAACAGGCUGAUCUCCCCCAAGAGUUCACAUCGACGGGGAGGUUUGGCACCUCGAUGUCGGCUCAUCGCAACCUGGGGCGGAAGUACGUCCCAAGGGUUGGGCUGUUCGCCCAUUAAAGCGGUACGUGAGCUGGGUUCAGAACGUCGUGAGACAGUUCGGUCCAUAUCCGAUGUAGGCGUGAGAAUAUUGAGAGGAGCCUUCCUUAGUACGAGAGGACCGGGAAGGACGCACCGCUGGUGUACCUGUUAUGAUGCCAAUUGUAAACGCAGGGUAGCCAAGUGCGGAGAGGAUAACCGCUGAAAGCAUCUAAGUGGGAAGCCCACCUCAAGAUGAGUAUUCUGGUGUAAGGUCACGGGAAGACGACCCGUAAAUAGGCACGAGGUGGAAGUGCAGAGAUGUAUGAAGCCGAAGUGUACUAAUAGACCGUCGGCCUGACC